AGUGAACGCUGGCGGUAGGCCUAACACAUGCAAGUCGAACGGCAGCACAGUAAGAGCUUGCUCUUACGGGUGGCGAGUGGCGGACGGGUGAGGAAUACAUCGGAAUCUACUUUUUCGUGGGGGAUAACGUAGGGAAACUUACGCUAAUACCGCAUACGACCUACGGGUGAAAGCAGGGGAUCUUCGGACCUUGCGCGAUUGAAUGAGCCGAUGUCGGAUUAGCUAGUUGGCGGGGUAAAGGCCCACCAAGGCGACGAUCGGUGGCUGGUCUGAGAGGAUGAUCAGCCACACUGGAACUGAGACACGGUCCAGACUCCUACGGGAGGCAGCAGUGGGGAAUAUUGGACAAUGGGCGCAAGCCUGAUCCAGCCAUACCGCGUGGGUGAAGAAGGCCUUCGGGUUGUAAAGCCCUUUUGUUGGGAAAGAAAAGCAGCAGGUUAAUACCCCGCUGUUCUGACGGUACCCAAAGAAUAAGCACCGGCUAACUUCGUG
RNAcentral lists this ribosomal RNA (492 nucleotides) under uncultured bacterium. Its description in RNAcentral is "partial 16S ribosomal RNA". It matches the Rfam family "Bacterial small subunit ribosomal RNA", at positions 29 to 507 of the family's 1533-position model. The record is from RNAcentral.